AGGGCGCACGGUGAAUGCCUUGGCACUAGGAGCCGAUGAAGGACGGGACUAACGCCGAUAUGCUUUGGGGAGCUGUAAGUGAGCUUUGAUCCAAAGAUUUCCGAAUGGGGGAACCCAGCAUCUUUGAUAGGAUGUUACUGCUGACUGAAUACAUAGGUCAGUAGAGGUAGACGCAGAGAACUGAAACAUCUAAGUACCUGCAGGAAGAGAAAGAAAAAUCGAUUCCCUGAGUAGCGGCGAGCGAAACGGGAAUAGCCCAAACCAGAAAGCUUGCUUUCUGGGGUUGUAGGACUGAACAUAUAGAGUCAUAAAUGAAGUUGGUAGGAGAAGCGACCUGGAAAGGUCUGCCGAAGAAGGUAAAAGCCCUGUAACCGAAACCAAUUUCACUCUGAUCAGUAUCCUGAGUACGGCGGAACACGAGAAAUUCCGUCGGAAUCCGGGAGGACCAUCUCCCAAGGCUAAAUACUCCCUAGUGACCGAUAGUGAACCAGUACCGUGAGGGAAAGGUGAAAAGAACCUCGGAAGAGGAGUGAAAUAGCCCCUGAAACCGUGUGCCUACAAAUAGUUAAAGCCCGUUAAUGGGUGAUAGCGUGCCUUUUGUAGAAUGAACCGGCGAGUUACGAUCACAUGCGAGGUUAAGUUGAUGAGACGGAGCCGUAGCGAAAGCGAGUCUGAAUAGGGCGAAUGAGUAUGUGGUCGUAGACCCGAAACCAAGUGAUCUACCCAUGUCCAGGUUGAAGGUGCGGUAAUACGCACUGGAGGACCGAACCCACGUAUGUUGAAAAAUGCGGGGAUGAGGUGUGGGUAGCGGAGAAAUUCCAAUCGAACUUGGAGAUAGCUGGUUCUCUCCGAAAUAGCUUUAGGGCUAGCCUCGGAAUUAGAAUCAUGGAGGUAGAGCAACUGUUUGGACUAGGGGCCCUUCUAGGGUUACCGAAUUCAGAUAAACUCCGAAUGCCAUUGAUUUAUAUCCGGGAGUCAGACUGCGAGUGAUAAGAUCCGUAGUCGAAAGGGAAACAGCCCAGACCACCAGCUAAGGUCCCAAAGUUUAUGUUAAGUGGAAAAGGAUGUGGAGUUGCUUAGACAACUAGGAUGUUGGCUCAGAAGCAGCCAUCAUUUAAAGAGUGCGUAAUAGCUCACUAGUCGAGUGACCCUGCGCCGAAAAUUUACCGGGGCUAAACAUAACACCGAAGCUGUGGAUAGAACCAUUGGUUCUAUGGUAGGAGAGCGUUCUAAGGGCGUUGAAGCUAGAUCGUGAGGACUAGUGGAGCGCUUAGAAGUGAGAAUGCCGGUAUGAGUAGCGAAAGACGGGUGAGAAUCCCGUCCACCGAAUGACUAAGGUUUCCUGGGGAAGGCUCGUCCUCCCAGGGUUAGUCGGGACCUAAGUCGAGGCCGAAUGGCGUAGACGAUGGACAACAGGUUGAGAUUCCUGUACCAGUUUGUUUUGUUUGAACAAUGGAGGGACACAGUAGGCUAAGGAAUACGUGCUGUUGGAUAUGCACGUCCAAGCAACAAGUUUUGAAGUGAGUCAAAUGCUUGCUUCUUUAAGAACAAGUUGUGAUGGGGAGGGAAAUUAAGUACCGAAGUUCCCGAUGUCACACUGUCAAGAAAAGCUUCUAGUUAGAAACAAACUGCCCGUACCGCAAACCGACACAGGUAGUCGAGGAGAGAAUCCUAAGGUGUGCGAGAGAACUCUCGUUAAGGAACUCGGCAAAAUGACCCCGUAACUUCGGGAGAAGGGGUGCUGACCAAUUGGUCAGCCGCAGUGAAUAGGCCCAGGCGACUGUUUAUCAAAAACACAGGUCUCUGCAAAAUCGUAAGAUGACGUAUAGGGGCUGACGCCUGCCCGGUGCUGGAAGGUUAAGAGGAAGGGUUAGCUCUCGGGCGAAGCUCAGAAUUGAAGCCCCAGUAAACGGCGGCCGUAACUAUAACGGUCCUAAGGUAGCGAAAUUCCUUGUCGGGUAAGUUCCGACCCGCACGAAAGGCGUAACGAUCUGGGCACUGUCUCAACGAGAGACUCGGUGAAAUUAUAGUACCUGUGAAGAUGCAGGUUACCCGCGACAGGACGGAA
RNAcentral lists this ribosomal RNA (2068 nucleotides) under Carnobacterium pleistocenium FTR1. Its description in RNAcentral is "bacterial LSU rRNA". It matches the Rfam family "Bacterial large subunit ribosomal RNA", at positions 14 to 2085 of the family's 2925-position model. Lineage: Bacteria; Bacillati; Bacillota; Bacilli; Lactobacillales; Carnobacteriaceae. The record is from RNAcentral.